UGGGCCUACGGGGGGCAGCAGUGAGGAAUAUUGGUCAAUGGGCGGGAGCCUGAACCAGCCAAGUCGCGUGAGGGAAGACGGUCCUAUGGAUUGUAAACCUCUUUAGGCGGGGAGCAAUGCCGGGCACGCGUGCCCGGAGGGAGAGUACCCGCAGAAUAAGCAUCGGCUAACUCCGUGCCAGCAGCCGCGGUAAUACGGAGGAUGCGAGCGUUAUCCGGAUUUAUUGGGUUUAAAGGGUGCGCAGGCGGAAUGUCAAGUCAGCGGUAAAAUUUCGGGGCUCAACCCCGUCGUGCCGUUGAAACUGG
This 305-nucleotide ribosomal RNA is filed under the name uncultured bacterium. RNAcentral describes it as "bacterial SSU rRNA". It matches the Rfam family "Bacterial small subunit ribosomal RNA", at positions 334 to 636 of the family's 1533-position model. The record is from RNAcentral.